UGCCUCUAUAUAUAUCCUCUACAAAUAGAAAACCAAAUGAAAAUAAAGUGUCAGCAAACAGAGAAGCCGGUGGAUCAGAAGAGCAAUUGCAAUCAUUUGUACUUUCACUUCCAAAGAAAGGUAUGUCCAAAAUUCUUACUCCAUCAACUUCUAUUUCUCUUUGUUACUUUAAUUAAUUAGUUGAUGAUUACAAGAAGUAACGAGCUACUGUUAAUAUGACCUUCCUAGCUCUAUUGCCUUCUUCUUUCUUCCCCAACUCUCUAUUCCUUUGAAGAUUUUGUAGGUAUUUCCAAUUUUGCUGCCAUUUUCUUUUCAUUUCUAUUUAUCCUAUGUUUCGUGGUAUAGUUGGUUAUAUCCUCGUGCAUUACCUUGUUACCCCCAUAGCAUUAUCAUAUUCCAUGAAUUUACACCAAAGAUUCUUGUUAGGAAUUUAAAAAGUAUAAUCGCAUUCAUCCAAGGUCAGGAAAAAAAUCGCAAUUCAAGAGAGUAUGAUGUAAGUACAUAGUCUAUGCUAAUACAAAUAUUAGUGGCUGAUUUCACGGUUUCAAUUCGUGAUAUAUAGGUUACACGGACACAAUUUUAUUGUUGCUCCAAAAUUCCAGUUCUAAUUAGGAAUUCAAUAUUUUACGAACUUAAAUGUCUCAAUGGGGACAUUAGGCAAUUUCAAGCUUAGAGGUAGAGGAGAAAGAAGAUUCAAAUUCACUUCUAAAAUCCUACAAAUAAUAUAGUCCCAACGAACGCGAUGAGUUUUUUUAUGUGGCUAAUUUGUUAGUCUAGGAAAAGAAGUGGCUAUCAACAAAAAGAUAGAAUUACUAGUGCAUGAUGAUGAGGAAAGUUAGCUGCAUUAAUAAUAAUAUAGACUAAAUUCAAACAACGUACAUUAUCAUUUUCAGCCGCACUUUGGAAAAGUUGGGCGUUUCUCACUUUCUUUGUUUCUUCUUUUUCCUUUUCUUUUAGUUAGUUGAUUGUAGAGAAAUUUUUAUAAAGUACUAUUUUUAAGUAGUAAUUAAUUAUUUAUAAAUAUUAAUAAUUAUAUUGUAGAUUAUACAUAUAUUUUAUGUAGUUAUAAGAUGUAUUUGAUGUGAUUAAGCUAUUGUAUUUAUGAAUACUGUAGCAAAAACAGGCAUGAAUAAGGAAAAUCCAACUAAUCAAUUGUUGUAUUCAAGUGUAUUUGACUGUAUUCAUGAAGUGAAAUAUGGGAUCCAGCUGGAAAGGUUAUUGUAUUCGACUGUAUUCACAACAUGAAAUAGGGGAUUAUACUAUUUUUAAAACGGAAAGUGAAUCAAUUAACAUAAUAGACUCCUAAUAUAACUCAACAAACUCAAUUAUUACACAUAAAUUUUAUAUUUUCAGUUAUAAAAAGAUUCUCAAUCGAAAAAUACCCCAAAAAAUAUACACAAAUUUUGUAUUUUCAGUUAUAAAAAAGAUUCUCGAUAUAAAAAUACCCCAAAUAACAUAGCAAUCUUCAGAGAAAUUAUAUAAUACAUCUGAAUUUCAUAAAUUAUAUUCAUUAAAAAAAACUUAUGAAUACAUUCAUGGGAUAUAGCGAGACAGUGAAUACAAUGAAAUAUGUAGAAUACAACAGGAUACAUUUAAAUACAAUGAGAAAAAAAGACAGUGAGACAAUAAAUGUAAGAUAUAUGGAUUUAUAUCUAGAUAUAUGGACUUAUAUCUACACACAUAUGAA
Molecule: long non-coding RNA, 1687 nt
Filed under: Nicotiana benthamiana
Lineage: Eukaryota; Viridiplantae; Streptophyta; Magnoliopsida; Solanales; Solanaceae
Description: long non-coding RNA (NBEN_LNC035650)
Rfam family: MIR6152 microRNA precursor family (bases 1208-1304)
Source: RNAcentral